RNAcentral lists this long non-coding RNA (1350 nucleotides) under Homo sapiens (human). RNAcentral describes it as "non-protein coding lnc-WRNIP1-16:4". The record is from RNAcentral. Lineage: Eukaryota; Metazoa; Chordata; Mammalia; Primates; Hominidae.
UUACUCACAAUAGCCAAAUGGUGGAAACAAACCAAGUGUCCGCUGACAGCUGAAUGGAUAAACAAGAUGUGGUAUAUACACACAAUAGGCCAAAAGGGAAAUCAUGAAGGGAAGGAUAAAGCUUUUUACUCCCAAGUUAAAAUCACACUACAGAAAUCCAUCCUUCAGACUUUUAUGAUCAGUUGCUAAAAAGUCCAAGACAUUUGAGCCUACUCCAAAGUGCAUUUCUUGCAGGAUAUUUUGAGGGAAUUCAUUUUGUAAUGAUGCGGUGAACACAGAGCCCAGCCCGGUCUGUCUCUGAAUAUUGUACAUAGCACAGCAACACACAAAUAGAAAAUUAGCGCGAGAGGCUGAGGCAGAAGAAUCACUUGAACCUGGGAGGCGGAGGUGGCAGUGAGCCGAGAUAGCCCCACUGCACUCCAGCCUGGGCAGCAGAGUGAGACUCUGCCUCAAAAACAAACAAAAAUAGAAUAUGGGGCUAAGCAUGGUGGCUCAUGCCUAUAAUCCCAGCACUUUGGGAGGCUAAAGUGAGAGGAUUGCUUGAGGCCAGGAUUUCAAGACCAACCUGGGCAAGAUAGGGAGACUCCAUCUCCACAAAAAGAAUUAAAACAAUUAUCCAGGCAUGGCACACGAGCUCUCUAUUUCAUAAGGCGCUCUAGCACGGAACAAGCUCAGUGUUUGGAAGGUCUGUUUUUAUAUAACAAGGUGAGUAAGAUAACCCUGGUCUCUUAUCUUUAAGACAGACUUUGAGGGGUUUUCCAAGGAGUAAGCAGUGGCCAACAGCGCUGAGUCGUCCCUUUGUCUGGCUGACUUCUCUCGUUAUCAGUUGCAAACAUCUCAUGGAGUUAAGGCAUUAAAAAGACUGAGAAAUAAUCUACAUAUCCAGUGUGUUUGGAAAACAUAUACUGUUGUAGUAGGUGAGAGGAGAGAAGGAGCCCAGGGCCAGCAGAGUCGUAGCCAUUUUGCCAGGAAGUAGCUUUAAGGGUUUCUGGACUGUUAGGCGAGUAGCUGGCCUGAAACCAGAUCUCAGCGUGCAGGGGCUGCUUCCGAAUGGAGUCUUUGCUGGUUGCUAUGUGUACACACAUGCCAUGGUUCAAGGAGAUACCCACUCCCUCCUGGCUCACUGUCCACCAACUGUGCUCACGCUUGGGAUCCCAAGGUUCCAGCUCUUUAGCUCACACUCCUGCAAAGCCACAGUUAUGACACACACUUCAUGUGCCAGCCCCACUUACAGGCCAUGCCCCUAUUAUCAUGCAAAUAAAAAUACAGGAUAUGCAGCAAAUUUCAAAGACUCCAUUCUAUUGCUCAGCUAUAGUGCCAACCUCUCUGGGCAUGGCUGGGGAGCCACUG